RNAcentral lists this ribosomal RNA (1520 nucleotides) under metagenome. RNAcentral's name for it is "bacterial SSU rRNA". It matches the Rfam family "Bacterial small subunit ribosomal RNA". The record is from RNAcentral.
AGAGUUUGAUUCUGGCUCAGAAUGAACGCUGGCGGCGUGCUUAACACAUGCAAGUCGUACGAGAACGUCUUAGCUUGCUAAGAUUAGUAAAGUGGCGCACGGGUGAGUAACGCGUGGAUAAUCUACCUUCGAAUCGGGGAUAACAUUGCGAAAGCGAUGCUAAUACCGGAUAAUAUCUAUUAUUCUUCGGGAUUUUAGAUCAAAGAUGGCCUCUACUUGUAAGCUAUUGUUUGAAGAUGAGUCCGCGUCCCAUUAGCUUGUUGGUGGGGUAAUGGCCUACCAAGGCAACGAUGGGUAGCUGGUCUGAGAGGAUGAUCAGCCACACUGGAACUGACACACGGUCCAGACUCCUACGGGAGGCAGCAGUGAGGAAUUUUGCGCAAUGGGGGAAACCCUGACGCAGCAACGCCGCGUGAGUGAUGAAGGCUUUCGGGUCGUAAAGCUCUGUCAAGUGGGAAGAAAAUAUAUAUAGCCAAUACCUUUAUAUACUGACGGUACCACUGAAGGAAGCACCGGCUAACUCCGUGCCAGCAGCCGCGGUAACACGGGGGGUGCAAGCGUUAUUCGGAUUCACUGGGCGUAAAGAGCGCGUAGGCGGCCAGGUAAGUCAGAUGUGAAAGCCCGGGGCUCAACCCUGGAAGUGCAUCUGAAACUGCUUGGCUUGAGUAUGGGAGAGGGUAGUGGAAUUCCUGGUGUAGAGGUGAAAUUCGUAGAUAUCAGGAGGAACACCGGUGGCGAAGGCGACUACCUGGACCAAUACUGACGCUGAGGCGCGAAGGCGUGGGGAGCAAACAGGAUUAGAUACCCUGGUAGUCCACGCAGUAAACGUUGUUCACUAGGUGUAGCGGGUAUUGACCCCUGCUGUGCCGCAGCUAACGCAUUAAGUGAACCGCCUGGGAAGUACGGCCGCAAGGCUAAAACUCAAAGAAAUUGACGGGGGCCCGCACAAGCGGUGGAGCAUGUGGUCUAAUUCGACGCAACGCGAAGAACCUUACCUGGAUUUGACAUCCUGGGAAUUCUAUCGAAAGACUGAAGUGCCCUUCGGGGAACCCGGUGACAGGUGCUGCAUGGCUGUCGUCAGCUCGUGUCGUGAGAUGUUGGUUAAGUCCCGCAACGAGCGCAACCCCUGUCUUUAGUUGCCAGCAUUCAGUUGGGGACUCUAAAGAUACCGCCCCGGUUAACGGGGAGGAAGGUGGGGAUGACGUCAAGUCCUCAUGGCCUUUAUGUCCAGGGCUACACACGUGCUACAAUGGGCUGUACAGAGGGUAGCGAUGCCGCGAGGUGGUGCCAAUCCCAAAAAGCAGUCCCAAGUUCGGAUUGGAGUCUGCAACUCGACUCCAUGAAGUUGGAAUCGCUAGUAAUCGCGGAUCAGCAUGCCGCGGUGAAUACGUUCCCGGGCCUUGUACACACCGCCCGUCACACCAUGAGAGUUGAUUGUACCGGAAGUUGUUGGGCCAACCUUUCGAGGAGGCAGGCACCUAUGGUAUGAUUGAUGAUUGGGGUGAAGUCGUAACAAGGUA